RNAcentral lists this long non-coding RNA (1520 nucleotides) under Homo sapiens (human). RNAcentral describes it as "HSALNT0322169". Lineage: Eukaryota; Metazoa; Chordata; Mammalia; Primates; Hominidae. The record is from RNAcentral.
CAUUGAUGGACACUUAGUAAGGAGGGGUGGGGCGGGUGAGUCGGCCUCGCCAGUGCGCAUGCGCGAGGCCCCAGCCGCCGCUUUGGUCACAGUGACCGCCACCGUUGCCGGGGGAUGGGUCCCUGAGACUUGGCGAAGUAGGAGCCCUGUGUGAUUGUGCGUCAGAGUCGGGGCUGACACCAGUCCUGGCCAGGGCACUUACCAGGACGGUCUCCGGAGGCCGGGAUUCGCGGAGGGUCCACCAGCAGUAAGAAACGCCAGGAGGAAGAAACCUCAGACAGAUCGCCGGGGACGCAGCGCGGGAUCCCAGCCUCAGGCGUGCACGGACGGUGUGCGGGUGAGUCUCCCCAAAAGUGGCGCCCUUGUGAUGUGGAGGACAGGUCUGCCAGGGUGUCCGUGGGCUGCUGUCUCACCGGUGGCCUCUUAGUCGCGGAGAGCAGAACCCGGCAGCUUCAGGGGCAGCCUGGGGGUGGGUGUUACCUGCUGUAUGUCUGUGUGCGUCUUGGUUGUGUGUGUGUGUGUGUGUGUGUGUGUGUGUGUGUGUGUGUGUUUGUGUCUGUGUGCGUGCGUGUGCGCGUCUGUGUGCCCACUUCUGUCUAUCUCUUACGUCUCUCUCUCUCUCUCCCCCCUCUCGCUCUUUCCGUCGCCCUCUCUUUCUAUCUCUGUCUGUCUGUGUGUGCGUGUGCCUUGGGACACAUGUGCCCCGUGCGCCGGAGGGUGGGUUUCUUGAAGGUCGGUCUUUCUUCUGGUCAGCCUCUCCCCGCGUCUCUGCCUCGGUCGUGUGGCCGGUUAGCAGUCGGUUUCCCGGCGGUUCCGGUUUGGGGGUCUGUGAGGGCCUGGGCAACGCCGGCAUCUGCUUCGGAACCUCAGGGGUUUUCGUCCACUCCCCAUCCGGAGCAGCCUCUUUGCUAGGCUAGAUCCAGACGACCGCUCCCCAAGCAAGGACAACGGCCUCCCAGGCGCUCAUUGUCCACCCGCAGGAGGGUGCCCGCAGACAUUCAAGAAGAUGGUUCUCACGCCUCUCGCCCUCUCCCUCAUGGAGAAAUGGAGCCACAGCUCGACGCAGGGACGGAGAAGGAAGCCGGCAAGGGGAUGGGGCAAGCAUCUCUGUCACUCAAAGGCUGGCCUUCCUGGCCGAGUCACCCGUCUGACACUCCUCCCCGGAUGCCCGUGGUGGUGGCAUGGCCCCGUAUCCUGCCUGGGCUCUGGCCUCUGCUCUGUCCUCCCUCUUGCUGUGUCUGCCCCGUCUCUGAGAAGCCUGGCGGCUUCUUAGUCUGGCUCAACGUCUUCAACAAAGAAGACUUCGCAGUCCAUCAGGGAGAAACCCCGUGGGCGUCCGUGUCAUGAUCGUUUCCCUCUCCACACCUCUUUCUGGAUGAUUGGGCAGGUGUGGUGAUCCUGGAGCUCUGGGCUUCCAUACCUGUGUGGGACAGGGAAGCUCUCUUGGUCUCCAUGGCCCAAGUGAUGGCUGCGCGCUCGGUCCAGGAAGAGGGGGAGGCAAGCCCACCGUUCCCCACAUU